GCCAAGUUCCAAGAAGCACAUAGGGCCCAGUUACCACCAGGGUGAUCCCCUGUCACAGUUACCUGGCAGCUCAGAGGCCCCCGCUGUGCCAAGAUAAGUCGACCAUGACAGCGACCGAGGAGGAUUUCACACGGAUGUCAGGUGGCUUUGGAGCUUCAGUCAUAUUGACGUCUUUUGAAGUUUCACAGAAGAUGGGAGAAGCUGUAUGUCUGGAGCUCAUCAUGUCCUAGCAGGCUCCUCAACUCAAUUUGCGUUGGAUUAUUCUCUCAAAAACUUCUGGUAGCUCCUGGAACACAGAGCCUCAUGACUACCUAAAAAGGAUAGGCCGCCUCCUGAACUGAGGGCCUCUUGGUUUGGUGGUGCCUGCCUCUCUGUGACCGAAACUGUUCCUGGUAGCUGCUGUCCCGGUGUGGAGUGUUGUGUCGUUCCCUGCCAGCUGGGGCGGCCCAUUCUUGCUAUCAAAGCCACCGCUGCUUUUCCACACUGUAUCCUGGAGAAACUAAGGCAGGUGGGGGCUGUCGUGGUCCCACGUCUAAGCUUUGCACUUCAGCGUUUGAGGGCCAAACAGCCCUGUGGUGUCAACCUCAAACAGAUGCUCACAAAAUGGUUAAGGCAAGAAUCAAGAAGUCUUAUGGUGUGACAGCUGUGAGCACAUGUGUGGGAAAGACCUUGAACAUGGCCGCGUCAUUGACAAAGCUCCUUGGCUGUUUCCACUGAGACAAAUGACCAGCAUGGAUGCCAGUUUGGCUUCCAAGAUGAGAAAGGCUCCUAGCUGGCAGUGUUCCAAGGAUGCAGCAAAGGCUUCUGGGAGUGUGUCUGUCUAGAACACAUUCACUCAGCUUUUUUUUACUCUGGGUCACAGUGACCUGAAGAAAAGCCCACACGUCCCUCACUACCUUAUUAUAUCUUCCGACACAGAUGCCUUAAUAAAGUCCUCAUGUUUUCUUUUUAGAUGGGUACCAUGUGUCCCAGGCCAGACGACUGGACCCAUGAUGGAGCUGAGAA
Molecule: long non-coding RNA, 1005 nt
Organism: Peromyscus leucopus (white-footed mouse)
Lineage: Eukaryota; Metazoa; Chordata; Mammalia; Rodentia; Cricetidae
Exons: 4
Source: RefSeq, a predicted model, not a curated record